This 428-nucleotide ribosomal RNA is filed under the name uncultured bacterium. Its description in RNAcentral is "bacterial SSU rRNA". It matches the Rfam family "Bacterial small subunit ribosomal RNA", at positions 28 to 456 of the family's 1533-position model. The record is from RNAcentral.
GAUAAACGCUGGCGGCGUGCCUAACACAUGCAAGUCGAACGGGAACCUUUGGAUUCGUCCGAGGGGGAGAGUGGCGAACGGGUGAGUAACACGUAGGUGACCUGCCUCAAAGACAGGGAUAACUGCUGGAAACGGCAGCUAAUACCUGAUGGAUUCGUUGAUUCGUUUCAACGAAUAAAGGCUGAGGCGCUUUGAGAGGGACCUGCGGCCCAUCAGCUAGUUGGUAGGGUAAAGGCCUACCAAGGCGAAGACGGGUAGGGGACGUGAGAGCGUGACCCCCCACACUGGGACUGAGACACGGCCCAGACUCCUACGGGAGGCAGCAGUGAGGAAUAUUGCGCAAUGAGCGAAAGCUAGACGCAGCAACGCCGCGUGGGUGAAGAAGGCCUUCGGGUCGUAAAACCCUUUUCUGGGGGAAGAGCAAGGAC